RNAcentral lists this ribosomal RNA (440 nucleotides) under uncultured bacterium. RNAcentral's name for it is "partial 16S ribosomal RNA". It matches the Rfam family "Bacterial small subunit ribosomal RNA", at positions 339 to 795 of the family's 1533-position model. The record is from RNAcentral.
CUACGGGUUGCUGCAGUGAGGAAUAUUGCACAAUGGAGGAAACUCUGAUGCAGCAACGCCGCGUGGAGGAUGACGCAUUUCGGUGUGUAAACUCCUUUUAUAUGUCAAGAAAAUGACGGUAGCAUAUGAAUAGGCACCGGCUAACUCCGUGCCAGCAGCCGCGGUAAUACGGAGGGUGCAAGCGUGUACUCGGAAUCACUGGGCGUAAAGGACGCGUAGGCGGGAUAUCAAGUCAGGUGUGAAAUCCUACAGCUUAACUGUAGAACUGCACUUGAAACUGGUAACCUAGAGUAUGGGAGGGGGAGAUGGAAUUAGUGGUGUAGGGGUAAAAUCCGUAGAUAUCACUAGGAAUACCUAAAGCGAAGGCGAUCUCCUGGAACAUAACUGACGCUAAGGCGUGAAAGCGUGGGGAGCAAACAGGAUUAGAUACCCCAGUAGUC